UGAGGAACAUGACCUUCGGCGGGGGAUAGCCGGCCCAACGGCCGGGUAAUACCGCGUACGACCACAUGGGGACAUCCCCGAGUGGUGAAAGCAGCAAUGCGCCGAUGGAGUGCCUCGCGGCCUAUCAGCUAGUUGGUGAGGUAACGGCUCACCAAGGCGACGACGGGUAGCUGGUCUGAGAGGAUGGCCAGCCACAUUGGGACUGAGACACGGCCCAGACCUCCCGUAGGGACGG
RNAcentral lists this ribosomal RNA (235 nucleotides) under uncultured bacterium. RNAcentral's name for it is "partial 16S ribosomal RNA". It matches the Rfam family "Bacterial small subunit ribosomal RNA", at positions 118 to 348 of the family's 1533-position model. The record is from RNAcentral.